This is a non-coding RNA of Cyanistes caeruleus (blue tit), 329 nucleotides long. The record is from RefSeq and is a predicted model, not a curated record. Lineage: Eukaryota; Metazoa; Chordata; Aves; Passeriformes; Paridae.
CGCCUGCGUUCCCGUGGAUUUUGAGGAGGUUCGGGUGAAUUCGGAGGCUCCCGAGGACGACGUGCAGAACGCCAUCACGGCCAUCCGGCGCAACGGCGUGGCGCUCAAGGGGAACAUCGAGACCAACCACAACCUCCCCCCGAGCCACAAAUCCCGCAACAACCUCAUCCGGACCAGCCUGGAUCUCUAUGCCAACGUCAUCCACUGCCAGAGCCUGCCCGGGGUGGAGACGCGGCACCGCGACAUCGACAUCCUCAUCGUCAGGGAGAACACCGAGGGCGAGUACAGCUCCCUGGAGCACGAGGUGGGCGCCGAAACGCAGCCGAAAU